Molecule: long non-coding RNA, 3133 nt
Organism: Ostrea edulis (European flat oyster)
Lineage: Eukaryota; Metazoa; Mollusca; Bivalvia; Ostreida; Ostreidae
Exons: 2
Source: RefSeq, a predicted model, not a curated record
CAGUUAAUGUGCCUUUUUCCAGAACAUGGUUUCAUCAUAUAUUUAUAUACUAUAUUCCUGAUAAGCAAUGGUGUAAGUUAAAAAGAAAGAUAUGUAAGGUGUCAAGAAGGACGAGACAGCUGAUAAACACACCAAGAAGACUCAUAUUGGUGUUAGAGAAUCGCUCCGUAAAUACAAGUUCUAAAUGGUUUAUUGAUCUUGCAAUGUAUGGAAUAUUAAAAAAGAUGAAUGAUGGAAAGGGAACAUAUGCUAAUAUAAUACCUCAAUAUGAUAGUUAUAUACAACGCGUUAUCUGAUUGGUCUAGAGAGUUAUAUACAAGGGACGAUAAAUAGAGAAUAACACAUGGCAAAAUCUGAAUCAUACCCCAUAUUAACCCGAUAUUCCAAUAUCAGCCUACGACCCUCGGGGUAAUACUGUUGAUGAUUGAUAUCGGGUAUGCUGCAGAUUUUGCCAUAUUUUGUUUUUUGUUUUUAUUAGAUAUUUGAAAAUAGUGACCAUAAUUCAUAUACAUCUUAAAAUAUCAAUAAGUAAUGCAAUACAAUCUUAUAGUUCACUGACGGAUAAAAGUAAAAACAAUCAUCAAAUUUAUUUGAAAUAGCACUUUUAAUGAAUUUAUUUUUUUUUAAAAAAAAUAGCAAUUUAGAUAACCAUUAUUAGUAAUAGGAACAUUGUUUCAGUUCCUUUUAGUUUUAUCUUACUAUUUAAUAAAAUUUAUAAUUACAUUUUCUUUCAUGGUGGCACUUGUAAAUACGUCUUUACGUUGUGGAAAUGGAACUGAUGCACUUGUAGACAUGUUGUUUACAAUGUCAAUAUUGAAUUCAUAGUUCACUAUUUUUUAAGAACGUCGUGAAAACCAUUAAACUCACUGAUUUCCUCUGCUGCAUCUGUUGUGUCACCCUUUGAAUAAUUCCUCAGUAGGUCUGAAAGCAUUUUGGUUUAUUGAGAGUUCACAAAAUAUCACGUUCACACCAAGAUCACCUUUAGUAAAAGCAUUUGAUUACUAUCCGUAUUUGUUUUGAAAAACAAAAUGCAGUAACACCACUGACAGAAAGAAAACCCCACGUACUUCUUAAUCUGCUUCAGAAAUCCAUCAAAUAUAGUAAAUUAUGAAGAAAUGGCAACAACUACUUCUGUUGUCUCUCACAGAACGGGAUGUAAUAUGGUGGAUUACUAACUACAAUGCCUGUCAAUAAAGAUGACAACUCUUUUUGUUAUAAACAAACUCCAAUAACAUAGUAUUCUUGUGUAUUUAAUGUCAUAUCACUUUUUUAAAAGUUUAGAUAAUCAUCCUAUCAUGCAUUUUAUAAAUGCAUAUUCUUCUCUAGUUAGUUCUUAUUUUGAGGGUGUAAAUAUGUUCACACAAGAAUGUAAUUGGCCAGUGAAUGUGAUAAAACCAUGACUUUAAAUGCAGCAGUUAUUGUAAAUAUAUCCUAUAGCAGCAAUAAACAAAACGCACUCCAUAGAUUGUAUUGUAAUUGUAUCAUGUGGUGGUUGACUGUGUGAUUGAUUGGAUAUUGUUUGACGUCCCUCUCAAAAAUAUUUCUUCACGCAUAUGGAAGCGAAGAUAACGAACAGUCUUUAAUUUCAUAAGCAAUACAAAAUAGAGAGUUGAGCAAACACGGAUCUCUGUAUAUACCAGAGGUGGGAACAGAUGUGUAGGAGAGGUAAGCAGCUCCUGUUGACCGGUCACACCCGCCGUGAGCCCUAUAUCGUGAUAAGGUAAAUUUGCGAAAUGCUGACUUUAGACGAGAUUGUUGAAACCUCUGAACCAUCAAAUUGUUUGGCAGUAGCCUGUCUCGAUUUAAAAACUGAUAAUACGCAGACCAAGCUAUUGCGUAGCGAAUCAGUUGAGAUAUAUACACACUAUACGUAGGUGAUAAUGGAAUAUUGCUACAUGUAUGUAUUACAACAUGUUUACAUGAGAUAUUGAGAACUUCAAGGCUAAUUGGGAACAAGGGAGGGUUGAAUUCAGAUUUUCACCAGCAUCGUUAUAAUAGUAUUUAUUUUUGUCAUUAACUUUAUAACACAGUAAAACAUUAAAAAAAAAACCUUUAUUUGAUGUGUUUUAUUUACAAUCAAUGCAUGGAGUGAUCUAAAAAAAGUUUCUUCCUUUUCUCGUUUUGAUGAGGCAAAUAUACACAACGACAGGGUAAUCUUGUCAUCACCAUUGAUUGAGACAUUGUAUGUAGACGUAAUUAUAUGCGAUACCCACACAUUUGAAUUCAGAAACAAACCCUCAACUACACUAAACGUCGACAUAACUGACUUGGUAUUUUGAUUACCUCUCCAGAAUCACUGGGCCAAUUAUAAUCAAACUUGUCCAAAAGCAUACUUAGGUGUAGGGCUAUCAAGUUUCUGAAGGGCCAUCCUCCUUUCAAAGUGGAGAAAAUCACAAAAAUGAAAAAUAGGGUGGGGUCAUUUAAAAAUUCUUCUCAAGAAUCACUGGGCUAGAAGAUCUGAAAUUUACAUGAAAGCUUCCUUUCAGGGUUCUUAAAAUUAUGACCCCGGGGUAGGAUCACGUCACAAUAAGGGAUCAAAGUUUUACAUACAAAUAUAUAAGGAACUAUCUUUUAAAAUGUUCUUAAGAACCACUGGGCCAGAAGAGUUGGGAUUUAUAUUUAAGCUUCCUGACGUAGUGCAGAUUCACGUUUGUAAAAGAGCAUAGCCCCCGGGAGUAAGAUGGGACCAUUAUAGUGGAUCAAAGUGUUGCAUACAAAUACAAUCUUUAAAGAUCUUCUCAAGAACUACUGGUCCAGGAAAGUAGAAAUUAACUUGAAAGCUUCCUGACAUAGUGCAAACUCAGGUGUGUUCACGUCAUGGCCCCUAGGGGUAAGAUGGGGCCACAAUAGGGGAUUGACGUUUUACAUGCAAAUAUAUAAGGAAACUCAUUUAAAAAAGCAUUCUCCUCGAGAACCACUGGACUAUAGGAAAGUACAUAUUUACAUGAAAGCGUCCUGAUAACAUUACAGACAAGUAUACAGAGAACAUGUUUAAAAAUCUUAGCCAGGAAAGCUGAGAUUUACAUCAAAACUUCCUGACAAAGUACAUGUUAAACGUUGUUGAAAUCAUGACCCCUGGGGCUAGGAUGGGGCCACAAUCAGAGUUUUAUACAUAUAUAAAUAGAAAAAAUAA